AACCCCUCCCCCCCCCACCCCCCCACCCCCCACCCCCCCACCCCCCACCCCCCACCCCCCACCCCCCCCCCCCCACCGCUCCGGCCCAGGGCUCUGGGGUUGCCCCGCCCACGUACUGCCCGCAGGCACCCGCGGGGCCGCACCGGGGCCGGGCGGGACCAAGGUGCUGGGCCAAGCCUAGGCCCCGCCGCCGGCACCCAUUCCCAGCUGCCGGUCCUCAGGUCCUCGCUUCCUCCGGGCGUCAGGGCCUGGGGGGCGGGCCGGGUGUCUUCAUCUUCCUGAUAUAUGGGGUAUACAACACAGAGGGCUGCUGCACCUGGAUUACACGCGGUUUCCUUUUCCAGUAGCCUUCAGGUAGGUUGGCAACAAGACUUUUUUUUUUUUUUUUUGCAACGGUACCUCUAUUGCGGUUUCAAAGCAGGCUCCUCCUAUAAAUGCAAAGGAUACACGCCCAUUAUUAAAAUAUUUCCAAACUAAGAGGGAUAACAGAAGCAAUGUUUUAAUAAAUGUUGUGCACUUGAAGUUUACUGCUUUUAGGUAGAACCAAAAGUGCCCUAAGUGAUCCACUUGUGGGUUUGGAUUUUGAUUCAAUACUUGGACUGCAAACUAAAGCAGAGAAAGCCCCCACAUUCGUCCUCAGUUUCCCCCACCUUUUCCGCCAGCCUCUUUCUCUGCAGCCCCCAAGCCACGCUGCAUUACGGUCCUGCGUAAUUCCGCCCCUUGGGUUCCACCUCCUGAGCGGCCUCCCCCAGAAGCCCUCAUCCACGUCCACCGCCGUCAGUGCAGCC
RNAcentral lists this long non-coding RNA (788 nucleotides) under Zalophus californianus (California sea lion). RNAcentral describes it as "lncRNA (ENSZCAG00015009859.1)". Lineage: Eukaryota; Metazoa; Chordata; Mammalia; Carnivora; Otariidae. The record is from RNAcentral.